UGAGGAAUAUUGCACAAUGGACGAAAGUCUGAUGCAGCAACGCCGCGUGAGGGAUGAAGGUGCUCUGCAUUGUAAACCUCUGUAGUCGGGGAAAAACAAUGGGUUACUACCCAUUUGAUGGUACCCGAAAAGUAAGGAUCGGCUAACUACGUGCCAGCAGCCGCGGUAAUACGUAGGAUCCAAGCGUUGUCCGGAUUUACUGGGUGUAAAGGGUGCGCAGGCGGACUUGUAAGUCAGAGGUGAAAUCUCUCCGCUCAACGGAGAAACUGCCUUUGAGACUGCAGGUCUUGAAUCCGGGAGAGAGUUGUGGAAUUCCGAGUGUAGCAGUGAAAUGUGUAGAUAUUCGGAAGAACACCAGCGGCGAAGGCAGCAACUUGGCCCGCGAUUGACGCUCAGGCACGAAAGCAUGGGGAUCAAACAGG
RNAcentral lists this ribosomal RNA (422 nucleotides) under uncultured bacterium. RNAcentral describes it as "bacterial SSU rRNA". It matches the Rfam family "Bacterial small subunit ribosomal RNA", at positions 355 to 776 of the family's 1533-position model. The record is from RNAcentral.